RNAcentral lists this ribosomal RNA (499 nucleotides) under uncultured bacterium. RNAcentral describes it as "partial 16S ribosomal RNA". It matches the Rfam family "Bacterial small subunit ribosomal RNA", at positions 28 to 507 of the family's 1533-position model. The record is from RNAcentral.
GACGAACGCUGGCGGCGUGCUUAACACAUGCAAGUCGAACGGGCCUGUCUUCUUUUUUGGGGGUGGGUUGAGUGGCGAACGGGUGAGUAUCACGUGAGUAACCUGCCCUUCGGUCCUGGAUAACCGCUUGAAAGGGCGGCUAAUACGGGGUGGUCCGGUUGGUCCGCAUGGGCUGGUCGGGAUAGAUUCACUGUUUUUGGUGUUUCGGCGGGGGAUGGGCUCGCGGCCUAUCAGCUUGUUGGUGGGGUGAUGGCCUACCAAGGCGGUGACGGGUAGCCGGCCGGAGAGGGUGGGCGGCCACACUGGGACUGAGAUACGGCCCAGACUCCGGCGGGAGGCAGCAGUGGGGGGUAUUGCACAAUGGGCGGAAGCCUGAUGCAGCGACGUCGCGUGAGGGAGGGAGGCCUUCGGGUUGUGAACCUCUGUUUCCGGUGGUGAAGGCCCUGUCCGUGUGGUGGGGUUGACGGUAGCCGGGGAUGAAGCGCCGGCUAACUACGUG